This 421-nucleotide ribosomal RNA is filed under the name Theileria velifera. RNAcentral's name for it is "SSU rRNA". It matches the Rfam family "Eukaryotic small subunit ribosomal RNA", at positions 442 to 901 of the family's 1831-position model. The record is from RNAcentral. Lineage: Eukaryota; Apicomplexa; Aconoidasida; Piroplasmida; Theileriidae.
UACCCAAUCCUGACACAGGGAGGUAGUGACAAGGAAUAACAAUACGGGGCUUAAUGUCUUGUAAUUGGAAUGAUGGGAAUUUAAACCUCUUCCAGAGUAUCAAUUGGAGGGCAAGUCUGGUGCCAGCAGCCGCGGUAAUUCCAGCUCCAAUAGCGUAUAUUAAAAUUGUUGCAGUUAAAAAGCUCGUAGUUGAAUUUCUGCUACAUUGCCUAUUCUCCUUUACGAGUUUGGGUCUUUUGUGGCUUAUCUGGGUUCGCUUGCGUUCCCGGUGUUUUACUUUGAGAAAAUUAGAGUGCUCAAAGCAGGCUUUUGCCUUGAAUAGUUUAGCAUGGAAUAAUGAAGUAGGACUUUGGUUCUAUUUUGUUGGUUUUAGGUACCAAAGUAAUGGUUAAUAGGAACAGUUGGGGGCAUUCGUAUUUAA